GCACCUGGUGCAGGUGCGGGCGCAGGAGGAGUUCGGCCACGGCACCUGGAGCGAGUGGAGCCGGGAGGCAUCGGGCACCCCCUGGACAGACCCAGGGGACGUCACCUCCGAAAUGGGACCCUUCAGCUCGCAGUUCCCCAUGGAGGAUGGAACGUACUGGGUGACGCUGCCCCCCGAGCUCUUCGGGCGAGA
RNAcentral lists this long non-coding RNA (192 nucleotides) under Columba livia (rock pigeon). Its description in RNAcentral is "partial uncharacterized LOC106146084". The record is from RNAcentral. Lineage: Eukaryota; Metazoa; Chordata; Aves; Columbiformes; Columbidae.